CCUACGGGUGGCAGCAGUAGGGAAUAUUGCACAAUGGGCGAAAGCCUGAUGCAGCAACGCCGCGUGCGCGAUGAAGGCCUUCGGGUCGUAAAGCGCUUUUCUGAGGGAAGAGAACGGACUGUACCUCAGGAAUAAGUCUCGGCUAACUACGUGCCAGCAGCCGCGGUAAUACGUAGGAGGCGAGCGUUAUCCGGAUUUACUGGGCGUAAAGCGCGUGCAGGCGGUCUGGUAAGUUGGAUGUGAAAGCUCCUGGCUCAACUGGGAGAGGUCGUUCAAUACUGCCAGACUGGAGGACGGUAGAGGAGAGUGGAAUUCCCGGUGUAGUGGUGAAAUGCGUAGAUAUCGGGAGGAACACCAGUGGCGAAAGCGGCUCUCUGGGCCGUUCCUGACGCUAAGACGCGAAAGCGUGGGUAGCGAACGGGAUUAGAUACCCUGGUAGU
Molecule: ribosomal RNA, 440 nt
Filed under: uncultured bacterium
Lineage: Bacteria
Description: bacterial SSU rRNA
Rfam family: Bacterial small subunit ribosomal RNA
Source: RNAcentral